AUCGGACCCGGCCGCGCCGGGUGGCUCGGCCCGGCGCCUAUCCCCGGGACAACC
This is a non-coding RNA of Novosphingobium sp. MBES04, 54 nucleotides long. Lineage: Bacteria; Pseudomonadati; Pseudomonadota; Alphaproteobacteria; Sphingomonadales; Sphingomonadaceae. The record is from Rfam.